AGCGAACGCUGGCGGCAGGCUUAACACAUGCAAGUCGAGCGGGCACUUCGGUGUCAGCGGCAGACGGGUGGGUAACACGUGGGAACGUGCCCUUCGGUUCGGAAUAACUCAGGGAAACUUGAGCUAAUACCGGAUACGCCCUUAUGGGGAAAGGUUUACUGCCGAAGGAUCGGCCCGCGUCUGAUUAGCUAGUUGGUGAGGUUACGGCUCACCAAGGCGACGAUCAGUAGCUGGUCUGAGAGGAUGAUCAGCCACACUGGGACUGAGACACGGCCCAGACUCCUACGGGAGGCAGCAGUGGGGAAUAUUGGACAAUGGGGGCAACCCUGAUCCAGCCAUGCCGCGUGAGUGAUGACGGCCUUAGGGUUGUAAAGCUCUUUUCUCCGGGACGAUAAUGACGGUACCGGAGGAAUAAGCCCCGGCUAACUUCGUGCCAGCAGCCGCGGUAA
This 449-nucleotide ribosomal RNA is filed under the name uncultured bacterium. RNAcentral's name for it is "partial 16S ribosomal RNA". It matches the Rfam family "Bacterial small subunit ribosomal RNA", at positions 29 to 523 of the family's 1533-position model. The record is from RNAcentral.